RNAcentral lists this long non-coding RNA (873 nucleotides) under Nicotiana benthamiana. Its description in RNAcentral is "long non-coding RNA (NBEN_LNC028195)". Lineage: Eukaryota; Viridiplantae; Streptophyta; Magnoliopsida; Solanales; Solanaceae. The record is from RNAcentral.
AAAAAUUUCCAUAAAACACAGCUCUUACUUUAGAGUUUUAGAGAGGCUAAAAUUUCAGAAAAAUAUACACAAAAAGGGGGUUUUUGGAAUCUGAAAAUUCCUCCUAACAGCCUCCAAAAGUCCAGCCUCUGAAGGUUCUUCAAAAAUCAAAAAAACAAUUGGGAAAAAACUCCAAAAAACUCAAAAAUAUUGUUCUAUUGAAUUUCUUCAUAGUAAUUUAUAAUUCCAUCCUUUCAGCAGGAAUUCUUAGCCUGUUAAAAGUCCAAAAUGGCCUGAAUACCCCCUGGUUUUCAGUGGUUGAAGUUUCAAAGGCUUAUGGGUUAAUUUUCGGUUAAAAUUGGUCUAUUUGAGUCUAUUUUGGUCUGUUUAGUGGUUGUCAUCUCCGGGAUUCGAAGUUGGAAUUACUGCUGUUGUUACCUGUUGUUUAAUACUCUUAUUGGCUCACCACUGGUGCUGAUUGCUCUUUCUCUUUGUUUGUAUUUUCAAUUCUAGGUACUUUGCUUAAUCUCUAAUGACUAAAAGCCAAGCCACCUUGUAAUUGAAGUUUUGAUGUGAAGUGAAAGGCUGAUCUGGGUCUUUGAAUCGUACACAUUCAUGAUUAUUCAUAUGAUAUUGUUCAUGUACCAAAUUGCUCUUCAUAAUUUCAUGUUUUACUUAUGUACAUGUUAACUUAUUAUGUAGUUGUAGCGUUUGAGACAUAGACGACAUGGAUUUUUGACAAUUGUAAUAAUUCGACUGCUAUACUAGUGUGUAUUCAUUUAGUAGCCUUUAGCUUUAGUGUGAAUCAAUCUUGAUGUUGAUUUGAGAUUUCAUAUCGCAUCAUGGUAAUUGUUGAACUUUGAAAAAGAGUGUGGAAUUCGAAACUGAUUUUGA